UAGAGGGUUUCCGCCCUUUAGUGCUGAAGUUAACGCAUUAAGCACUCCGCCUGGGGAGUACGGUCGCAAGACUGAAACUCAAAGGAAUUGACGGGGGCCCGCACAAGUGGUGGAGCAUGUGGUUUAAUUCGAAGCAACGCGAAGAACCUUACCAGGUCUUGACAUCCUCUGACAACCCUAGAGAUAGGGCUUUCCCUUCGGGGACAGAGUGACAGGUGGUGCAUGGUUGUCGUCAGCUCGUGUCGUGAGAUGUUGGGUUAAGUCCCGCAACGAGCGCAACCCUUGAUCUUAGUUGCCAGCAUUCAGUUGGGCACUCUAAGGUGACUGCCGGUGACAAACCGGAGGAAGGUGGGGAUGACGUCAAAUCAUCAUGCCCCUUAUGACCUGGGCUACACACGUGCUACAAUGGAUAGUACAAAGGGUUGCAAGACCGCGAGGUGGAGCUAAUCCCAUAAAACUAUUCUCAGUUCGGAUUGUAGGCUGCAACUCGCCUACAUGAAGCCGGAAUCACUAGUAAUCGCGGAUCAGCAUGCCGCGGUGAAUACGUUCCCGGGCCUUGUACACACCGCCCGUCACACCACGAGAGUUUGUAACACCCGAAGUCGGUGGGGUAACCUUUUAGGGGCCAGCCGCCUAAGGUGGGACAGAUGAUUGGGGUGAAGCG
Molecule: ribosomal RNA, 664 nt
Filed under: Gottfriedia luciferensis
Lineage: Bacteria; Bacillati; Bacillota; Bacilli; Caryophanales; Bacillaceae
Description: bacterial SSU rRNA
Rfam family: Bacterial small subunit ribosomal RNA
Source: RNAcentral